Molecule: ribosomal RNA, 906 nt
Filed under: uncultured Bacteroidota bacterium
Lineage: Bacteria; Pseudomonadati; Bacteroidota
Description: bacterial SSU rRNA
Rfam family: Bacterial small subunit ribosomal RNA
Source: RNAcentral
GGAUCCAGACUUUGAUCAUGGCUCAGGACGAACGCUGGCGGCGUGCCUAACACAUGCAAGUCGAGCGGAGACAGGGAGUAGCUUGCUACGAGCUGUUUUAGCGGCGGACGGGUGAGUAACGCGUGAGCAACCUUUCCCAGACAGGGGAAUAACACACCGAAAGGUGUACUAAUACCGCAUAAGACCACGGAAUCACAUGGUUCUGGGGUAAAAGAUUUAUCGGUUUGGGGUGGGCUCGCGUCCGAUUAGGUAGUUGGUGAGGUAACGGCCCACCAAGCCGACGAUCGGUAGCCGACCUGAGAGGGUGAUCGGCCACAUUGGGACUGAGACACGGCCCAAACUCCUACGGGAGGCAGCAGUGGGGAAUAUUGGGCAAUGGAGGAAACUCUGACCCAGCAACGCCGCGUGGAGGAAGAAGGUUUUCGGAUCGUAAACUCCUGUCCUUGGAGACGAGUAGAAGACGGUAUCCAAGGAGGAAGCCCCGGCUAACUACGUGCCAGCAGCCGCGGUAAUACGUAGGGGGCAAGCGUUGUCCGGAAUAAUUGGGCGUAAAGGGCGCGUAGGCGGCUCGGUAAGUCUGGAGUGAAAGUCCUGCUUUUAAGGUGGGAAUUGCUUUGGAUACUGUCGGGCUUGAGUGCAGGAGAGGUUAGUGGAAUUCCCAGUGUAGCGGUGAAAUGCGUAGAGAUUGGGAGGAACACCAGUGGCGAAGGCGACUAACUGGACUGUAACUGACGCUGAGGCGCGAAAGUGUGGGGAGCAAACAGGAUUAGAUACCCUGGUAGUCCACACUGUAAACGAUGAAUGCUAGGUGUAGGGGGUAUCGACCCCUUCUGUGCCGCAGUCAACACAAUAAGCAUUCCGCCUGGGGAGUACGGCCGCAAGGUUGCAACUCAAAUGAAUUGACGG